Molecule: microRNA precursor, 89 nt
Filed under: Canis lupus familiaris (dog)
Lineage: Eukaryota; Metazoa; Chordata; Mammalia; Carnivora; Canidae
Also listed under: 1 other name
Description: mir-8799 microRNA precursor family
Rfam family: mir-8799 microRNA precursor family
Source: Rfam by way of RNAcentral
GGGCAGAGGUCGGAUCCUGCGCUGUGUCCCCGGGGCCCUGUGUUCCCGGGCCUGCGCUUUUGGAUUCGCGCUCUGGGCCGCAGCCCCCU